UAUGGAUCUUCCUUAGAAGAACAUGAAGUUGCUUCUGUGGAACUGGUUAUCAGCCAUGGCCUCAACAAUCCAUAAUCCAGUCAUGGAGAGGAUUCCCCAUGGUCAGAAGUCAACUUGCACAUCUAGUUAAAGUCCAAGCGCUUCUCUCACGGGGGCAACAGCUGCGGGGAUUCUGUCCCUUGUAGACCCUUGACCCAGAGACCGAUGAAUCAAGUACACAGACACACAGAUAUUCUGCUUUACCAGUCCAACUGAGUGUGUCUGAGCCACUUACAGACUCCAGCAGAGUCCUGUAAACAGUUGCGACUCAGCCUCCAUCGGCUGUUAUCCACAAUGGCCAGCUGACCUCCUUGCAGUGCUUCAACCAUUCUAGGCAUGCUCCCUCUUGGAGUGUGUGUAUGGAGCUCUUCUCCCCACCAACGAUGAUCUUCCCCCAUAUGUACUCGUGUAUCUCCUCUUCAUCUCUUUCAAAUCUGCUCAAAUGUCACCUUUUCAAUGAAACUUUACUUAAAUAUUAUCACACU
Symphalangus syndactylus (siamang) is the source of this 524-nucleotide long non-coding RNA. RefSeq lists it as uncharacterized. Lineage: Eukaryota; Metazoa; Chordata; Mammalia; Primates; Hylobatidae. The record is from RefSeq and is a predicted model, not a curated record.